RNAcentral lists this ribosomal RNA (407 nucleotides) under uncultured bacterium. RNAcentral's name for it is "partial 16S ribosomal RNA". It matches the Rfam family "Bacterial small subunit ribosomal RNA", at positions 28 to 526 of the family's 1533-position model. The record is from RNAcentral.
GACGAACGCUGGCGGCGUGCCUAAUACAUGCAAGUAGGACGCAGUUGCGAACGGGUGAGUACCGAGUAGGUAACUACCUAUUCGAGGGGGAUAACUCUUGGAAACGAUAGACAAUACCGCAUACUAGUAGAUGGACCUGCGUUGUAUUAGCUAGUAGGUAGGGUAAUGGCCUACCUAGGAAACGAUACCUAGCCGGCCUGAGAGGGUUCACGGCAACACUGGGACUGAGAAACGGGACAGACUCCGACAGGAGGCAGCAGUAGGGAAGCUUCGGCAAGAGUGUGAACCCUGACCGAGCAACGCGGCGUGAGUGAAGAAGGUUUUCGGAUCGUAAAGCUCUGUUGUUAAGGAAGCGGUACUUAACCAGAAAGGGACGGCUAACUACGUGCCAGCAGCCGCGGUAAUUC